RNAcentral lists this ribosomal RNA (253 nucleotides) under uncultured bacterium. RNAcentral describes it as "partial 16S ribosomal RNA". It matches the Rfam family "Bacterial small subunit ribosomal RNA", at positions 524 to 776 of the family's 1533-position model. The record is from RNAcentral.
UACAGAGGUCUCAAGCGUUGUUCGGAUUCAUUGGGCGUAAAGAGCUUGUAGGCGGUUUGUCGCGUCUGCUGUGAAAUUUCGGGGCUCAACCCCGAACUUGCAGUGGGUACGGGCAGACUAGAGUGUGGUAGGGGAGACUGGAAUUCCUGGUGUAGCGGUGAAAUGCGCAGAUAUCGUAAGGAAGACCAGUGGCGAAGGCGGGUCUCUGGACAGUUCCUGACGCUGAGGCACGAAGGCCAGGGGAGCAAACGGG